This 999-nucleotide ribosomal RNA is filed under the name Marinobacter nauticus. Its description in RNAcentral is "bacterial SSU rRNA". It matches the Rfam family "Bacterial small subunit ribosomal RNA", at positions 35 to 1003 of the family's 1533-position model. Lineage: Bacteria; Pseudomonadati; Pseudomonadota; Gammaproteobacteria; Pseudomonadales; Marinobacteraceae. The record is from RNAcentral.
GAUUUCCCCGGGGAAUUAAAAUUCAAGGCUGAAGCGGAAACAGGGGAGCUUGCUCCCGCAGACGAGCGGCGGAGGGGAGGGGGGGGGAGGAACUGCCCAGUGUGGGGGAUGCCCGGGGAAAAAGGAAAUUAAUACCGCAUACGUCCUACGGGAGAAAGCAGGGGAUCUUCGGACCUUGCGCUAUUGGAUGAGCCCUAAGUCGGAUUAGCUAGUUGGUGGGGUAAAGGCCUACCAAGGCGACGAUCCGUAGCUGGUCUGAGAGGAUGAUCAGCCACAUCGGGACUGAGACACGGCCCGAACUCCUACGGGAGGCAGCAGUGGGGAAUAUUGGACAAUGGGGGCAACCCUGAUCCAGCCAUGCCGCGUGUGUGAAGAAGGCUUUCGGGUUGUAAAGCACUUUCAGUAGGGAGGAAAACCUUAUGGCUAAUACCCAUGAGGCUUGACGUUACCUACAGAAGAAGCACCGGCUAACUCCGUGCCAGCAGCCGCGGUAAUACGGAGGGUGCAAGCGUUAAUCGGAAUUACUGGGCGUAAAGCGCGCGUAGGUGGUUUGGUAAGCGAGAUGUGAAAGCCCCGGGCUUAACCUGGGAACGGCAUUUCGAACUGUCAGACUAGAGUGUGGUAGAGGGUAGUGGAAUUUCCUGUGUAGCGGUGAAAUGCGUAGAUAUAGGAAGGAACACCAGUGGCGAAGGCGGCUACCUGGACCAACACUGACACUGAGGUGCGAAAGCGGUGGGGGAGCAAACAGGAUUAGAUACCCUGGUAGUCCACGCCGUAAACGAAUGUCAACUAGCCCGUUGGGGACUCUUGAAGUCUUAGUGGCGCAGCUAACGCACUAAGUUUGACCCGCCCUGGGGGAAGUACGGGCCGGCAAGGGUUAAAAACCUCAAAUUGAAAUUUGACCGGGGGGCCCCGCACAAGCGGUUGGGAGGCCAUGUUGGUAUUUAUUCGACGGCAUCGCGAAGAAACCCAGUUUACCCGUUGUGUGCGCCCCCUCUG